Molecule: long non-coding RNA, 576 nt
Filed under: Carassius auratus (goldfish)
Lineage: Eukaryota; Metazoa; Chordata; Actinopteri; Cypriniformes; Cyprinidae
Description: lncRNA (ENSCARG00000016136.1)
Source: RNAcentral
AUCCCCUCUGAGGCCAAAACAUAUAAUGGUGUAAGGAUCCACUCACCGGCUCAAGAAAGAUAGUCCAGCUCCUGGUUGAAGCUCCUUCUGCUUGAAGUAAACUAAUCCCAAGAAAUGGAUCGCCGUCGCAAACUGUCUGGAUCCGGUGAUGACAGCGAUGCUUUAGAUAAGAGUAUUGGUCUUCCUCCUUACUUUAACUGUGCUGGGAGUAAACCAGAGGAGAUACUACAGCGGAAACUUCAAACUGUUGAUUCUUUCAAGAGAACCAUUGAGGAACUAAAGUCAGAAUAUAAGAGAAAUCUCCCCACACUCACUGAUCAAAUGAAGAAACUGGAGGACAUCUCUGAUGUGAUUGAAUUGUGCACAAGAACGCUACAGUGGUCAGUUUGGCUGGAUCAUCAGUUGGAGCAGUGGGUCUGGCUUUAUCUCCAGUCACAUUAUGAGCUUCUUUGUGUGUUACUGCUGUUGCAGCUGUUGCUUUAGUAGCUGGAGGAGUAACACGUGCAGCAUCAAACAUCAUUAACAUACUCAAGCAAAGAAAACUACGUCCGACUGUUGUGAAGAUCAUCAGUGAUU